Molecule: transfer RNA, 65 nt
Filed under: Marmota monax (woodchuck)
Lineage: Eukaryota; Metazoa; Chordata; Mammalia; Rodentia; Sciuridae
Description: tRNA.Ala
Source: RNAcentral
GAUAUAGCUCAGUGGUAGAGCACUUGGCUAGCAUGUGCAAGGUUCUGGAUUCAACCCCCAGUACA